Molecule: ribosomal RNA, 508 nt
Filed under: uncultured soil bacterium
Lineage: Bacteria
Description: bacterial SSU rRNA
Rfam family: Bacterial small subunit ribosomal RNA
Source: RNAcentral
GGAUUGAACGCUGGCGGCAGGCCUAACACAUGCAAGUCGAGCGGUAGAGAGGUGCUUGCAUCUCUUGAGAGCGGCGGACGGGUGAGUAAUGCCUAGGAAUCUGCCUAGUGGUGGGGGAUAACGUUCGGAAACGGACGCUAAUACCGCAUACGUCCUACGGGAGAAAGCGGGGGACCUUCGGGCCUCGCGCCAUUAGAUGAGCCUAGGUCGGAUUAGCUAGUUGGUGAGGUAAUGGCUCACCAAGGCGACGAUCCGUAACUGGUCUGAGAGGAUGAUCAGUCACACUGGAACUGAGACACGGUCCAGACUCCUAACGGGAGGCAGCGAGGUGGGGAAUAGUUGGACAAGUGGGCGCAAGCCUGAUCCAGCCAUACCGCGUGGGUGAAGAAGGCCUUCGGUUGUAAAGCCCGUUUUGUUAGGAAAGAAAGCAUUACGGUUAAUACCCGGUUGUUCGUGACGGUACCCAAAGAAUAAGCGAACCGCUAACUCGUCGACCUACGCACGGCCG